AUGGUGAUCAGCUUCAGUUGCUCAGCAAGUAGAAAACUGACGGGGAUCUUGGCCUUGCUGUUCAUGAUGACCCGAGUCUAUGGCCAGUCUACUUCGGGGUUCAUAAGCAUCGAUUGCGGAAACAGACGCACCUACAACGACAGCCCAACAGGAAUACAGUACCAUUCUGAUCAUGGAUUUGUCGAUGGUGGAUUGAGCCACAAGAUUUCAACGGAGUUCAUGGCUGAUGCCACGAAUGAGCAACAAAAAACCUUGAGAAGCUUCCCUCAGCGCUCAAGGAAUUGCUACACGCUGCCAUCCGCCACUGGUAAGAAGUUUCUGGUGAGGGCCUUGUUUACUUACGGCGACUAUGAUGGGUUGAACAGUACUAUGAGCGGGUCGCUUUUUCGGUUUGGGCUCCAUAUCGGUGUCAAUUUCUGGGAGGCGGUGAACUUGACAAAUUCAGAUCCAUCAAACACAAUAUGGAAGGAGGUGCUCACUGUUGCACCUGGCAACAACCUGUCGGUCUGUUUGAUAAACUUCGGUACAGGGACACCGUUCGUGUCUUCGUUGGAGCUGAGGCCACUGCAAGAUGUGAUGUACCCUUUUGUGAAUUCUUCGGUGUCAAUCAGCUACUUUAUACGGAUCAGAUUUGGUAACAUGACAACAAACCUUAUCACAAGAUAUCCGAUGGACGAUUAUGACCGGUUCUGGGAGAGCUCUUCUUCCUCCUACGCCACCUACCCCUUUCUCAGCCGGACCACUAGCAAUGAAGUGAGGAGGCUCCCAGGCAAUGACGCCUUCCAGGUACCGCAAGCCAUCCUCCAGAACGCCACGACCCUAGACACGAACUACACCUUUUUCAGCGUUGUCGUGGCGGCGGGUCCCAACCUGGACUCAACGAACCUGCAGCUUCUCCCGAUCUUCCACUUUGCCGAGGUCGUUGACAACAAUCCAAAUAGGUCGUUCAACAUCUACAGCGGCGACGAAAUGUUGUUCCCAGACUUCUCACCUUCGCGAUCCCAGGUGGACAGCAUGCACCAGAAUGGGCGCUUCUUGCAUAACCCCGCAGCCUCCUUCCUUCUGAACAAGACCAACAACUCGGUGCUCCCACCGCUCAUCAAUGCGUUCGAGCUGUACUCUCUAGUUCGGAUGGAUAACCUCACGACUGACUCCAACGACGUCAGUUACAUCAAAGAAGUGAAGAAGCACUACAAUUUGGCACAAAUAAACUGGAAUGGAGAUCCAUGCUCCCCAAGAGAGUAUUCCUGGGAAGGUUUGAUUUGCAGCUACCCUAAGAGCAACCAGAAUCCAAGAAUAAUUGCAGUAAAUCUGUCUACCAGUGGACUGAAAGGUGGAUUAACCAUAUCAUUCAUGAACAUGUCAUCACUGAUAAACUUGGAUUUAUCACACAACAAUUUGACAGGAGCUAUUCCAGACUACCUAGGGUCACUCAGAGUCCUCAACUUGUCAAAUAACCAGCUUGAUGGACCGAUCCCUGAUUUUAUUCUUCAAGGUUUUCAGGCCGGCCUGCUUGACUUAAGAUUAGAAGGCAAUCCCCUAUGCUCAAAAGUCAAAGAUGCAUACUGCUCAAAUAAGAAGAACACCAUACAUAUCAUACUCAUCGCAGUGAUAGUUCCUGUGGUACUGGUAUCCCUCCUAGUAGUGAUGUGCAUACUCUGGAAGUUAUGCUGGAAAGGGAAGUCAGAAGACCAUGAGGAUUAUUCCAUGUAUGAAGAGGAAACUCCACUACAUAUUGAUAUCAGACGGUUCACGUACACAGAGCUGAAGCUCAUAACAAAAGACUUCCAAUCAAUCAUUGGAAAGGGAGGUUUCGGUAUUGUUUAUCAUGGCACACUGGAAAAUGGUGACGAGGUAGCUGUGAAGGUGCUCAUGGAGACAUCAAUAGCAGAGUCAAAAGACUUCCUCCCAGAGGUGCAAACCUUGUCCAAAGUUCAUCACAAGAACCUUGUGACUCUGCAAGGAUAUUGCCAGAACAAGAAGUGCCUAGCACUCGUUUAUGAUUUUAUGCCCAGAGGAAAUCUUCAACAGCUUUUAAGAGGAGAUGACUAUAGUUUGAAUUGGGAACAACGGCUUCAUAUUGCACUUGAUGCUGCACAAGGCCUUGAGUAUUUACAUGAGUUAUGCACCCCAUCAAUAGUGCACAGAGAUGUGAAGACCCCAAACAUCCUUCUGGACAAUAAUCUGGUGGGGGUAAUAUCUGAUUUUGGGCUUUCGCGGGCUUUUAAUGAUGCUCACACACACAUAUCUACUGCUGCUGCUGGCACUCUUGGCUACCUCGACCCUGAGUACCAUGCAACUUACCAACUCACUGUCAAGACAGAUGUUUACAGCUUCGGCAUCGUGCUCUUGGAGAUCAUCACCGGCCAAUCCCCAGUAGUUAUGGACCCUCAAACUGUCCACCUCCCAAAUUGGGUGCGGCAAAAGAUAGCUAACGGCAGCAUUCACAAUGUUGCAGACAAGAAACUGCUGGAUCUGUACGAUGCCAGUUCCCUGCAGAGUGUAGUGGACCUGGCCAUGAACUGCCUCGAAAACGCAGCCAUCAACAGGCCGACCAUGACCGAGGUUGCUUCAAGGCUCAAAGUGUGGUUGCCAGCUGUUUCUGGGGCCCCUCGACACACGGACUCCAUGGAUACUGAAAUUCCAAGGCAGUUCCGGCUGAUGAUUUCAAGAGCAAGAAACGAGGGGAUAUCCUUCCAGUCUGGCUAUACCAAUGGGAUUUCACAAACGAGCCUCUUUUCUGGACGGUGA
RNAcentral lists this ribosomal RNA (2751 nucleotides) under Triticum aestivum (bread wheat). RNAcentral's name for it is "partial small subunit ribosomal RNA". Lineage: Eukaryota; Viridiplantae; Streptophyta; Magnoliopsida; Poales; Poaceae. The record is from RNAcentral.